Molecule: long non-coding RNA, 456 nt
Organism: Ictalurus punctatus (channel catfish)
Lineage: Eukaryota; Metazoa; Chordata; Actinopteri; Siluriformes; Ictaluridae
Source: Ensembl
UAAAGUAAGAUAAGGUAAAGUAAGAUAAAGUAAAGUAAGGUAAAGUAAGAUAAGGUAAAGUAAGAUAAGGUAAAGUAAGAUAAAGUAAGGUAAAGUAAGGUAAGGUAAAGUAAAGUAAAGUAAAGUAAAGUAAGGUAAAGUAAAGUAAGGUAAAGUAAGGUUAAGUAAGAUAAGUAGUAAGGUAAAGUAAGGUAAAGUAAGGUAAAGUAAGGUAAGGUAAAGUAAGGUAAGGUAAAGUAAAGUAAGGUAAAGUAAGGUAAAGUAAAGUAAGGUAAAGUAAAGUAAGGUAAAGUAAAGUAAGGUAAAGUAAAGUAAAGUAAGCAGUAGUAAGAUAAAGUAAGGUAAAGUAAGUAAGGUAAAGUAAGCUAAGGUAAAGUAAAGUAAGUAAGGUAAAGUAAGGUAAAGAAAGUAAGGUAAAGUAAGAUAAAGUAAAGUAAGAAAAGUAAGGUAAAGUAA